UUUACCUUUCAGUUAGUAGCGCCGCUCUCGAUACUGGGCUCAGUUACUGAACCUCGUAUCAAGCUUGCGAUGUCGAACGCUUGAAAAUGUAUUGAAGGUUGGGUCGGUCUGAAGAAGUUUGCUGAAGAAGCUUUUCUAAGCGUAUUUCUUGCAGACUUGCUCAACUUAUGACGUGAAUGCGUCUCGUCAGGCGCUCACACAAAUUACCUGACCGGUGAUGGAGCAGCGGGCACUCGAUGGCCGAUUUUUUCGUCGACGUAUUUGUACUCGGCGAGACGAGUGUCAGCCGAACAAGCGCUCGCAAAAGCCUCUGCGCGCUGCCUACAGGUAGCGCGGCGCACAUCGAAGGGGGCUUCGCUAGAGCGCGACCGCACGACCCGGGUCUGUAGCUCAGUUGGUUAGAGCGCACCCCUGAUAAGGGUGAGGUCGGUAGUUCAAAUCUACCCAGACCCACCACUACAAACGGGGCCAUAGCUCAGCUGGGAGAGCACCUGCUUUGCAAGCAGGGGGUCGGCGGUUCGAUCCCGCCUGGCUCCACCACUCAAGUACAUCGCGACGUUCUCGAUUGACGAUUGACACUGUCAAUGACUUAGUUGAGUCGACUUAGUUGGGUCGCGGCGCAAGGAUUAUGCAUAACGGCGACUUCGGUCGCCGUUUCGCUCUUUAACAAUUCGGUGAGAUGUAAAGGCGCAAAUCAACGGAAGGAUCUCUCAACCUUCCGUUGUGGAACG
Molecule: transfer RNA, 731 nt
Filed under: uncultured bacterium
Lineage: Bacteria
Description: partial 16S-23S ribosomal RNA intergenic spacer
Rfam family: tRNA (bases 380-453)
Source: RNAcentral